RNAcentral lists this transfer RNA (71 nucleotides) under Thaumatotibia leucotreta. RNAcentral describes it as "tRNA-Cys". The record is from RNAcentral. Lineage: Eukaryota; Metazoa; Arthropoda; Insecta; Lepidoptera; Tortricidae.
AAAAGCUUUAUAGUUAAAUUAUAUAAUAUAAAAUUGCAAAUUUUAAGAUGNAAAAAAAAAUUCUAAGGCUU